GGCUUUUUUGCACUUCUUCCUUUACUUAUAAUAGUAUCCAUCGCAGACUGACUAGGAGAUUUGAGUAUUUAUCAUCCAGAGGUCUGCCUCAUCAGGGUUAUCACUCAAAGCAUAACCAAAUGCUGAAAGCUGACCAGCCAUAUAUUCGGAAUCACUCUGAUUAUGAGAACAUCCGAAUGUCUUGAUGUAAAUAGUCUGAGUGCCAGGUAUUUUAGGUGUAGGAGAGUCUUGGACUACUGUUAGCUUCGUUACACCGUUCUUUUUCCUUUGCUUUGGAUUGACUCCAACGGCCGCCGGCACCGGUAACCUAAACCCUGGAGGCACUCCGGCAAUGCUACCCACCAGCAAAUCUUCAAUGUCCUCCAUUAGUUCA
Molecule: unclassified non-coding RNA, 373 nt
Filed under: Hevea brasiliensis (rubber tree)
Lineage: Eukaryota; Viridiplantae; Streptophyta; Magnoliopsida; Malpighiales; Euphorbiaceae
Source: RNAcentral